This is a non-coding RNA of Cajanus cajan (pigeon pea), 1003 nucleotides long. The record is from RefSeq and is a predicted model, not a curated record. NCBI's taxonomy places the organism in Eukaryota, Viridiplantae, Streptophyta, Magnoliopsida, Fabales, Fabaceae.
CCUAAUCGACUAUCUCCUUCUAUAAAUAGCGACUCCACUCUCACAUGUACAUCAUCGGCUGAGAGAGAGUAUAGCAGCGGUACAAGUUGAGGAACCUUAAAUUCAAGGAUUCACAUAGAUGCUGGAUAGUAGAGAAAGUAGUAAGCCUUGAAGCUCGGAGUUGGCUCGCAUCACCAUUUCUCUUCUUCUUUUUUUUCUUCCCCGUGAGCUCGGAACCGGAAUUCUUCUCCCUCCAAGCAACAACCAGGGUGCUGAAGAACUAGGCUCUGAAAAACCAGCUAGUAUACAAAUGCAUACAAGCAUUAGCAGAAUCAAGGUAAUCUCUCCAAUAAUAAAUGUAUACUAUCCGGCUGACAAAUGACUUUCAUGACUUUUGUGUAGAUAGGCUUGACAUGUUAAAAAAUGAUUUAAUUCUGUUAAUGUUGAACUUCAUGACAUUUAAUCUAUAAAUUGGUCUUUGCUUGAUGACAUCAACUGGAGCUCAUUUAUAAAGAAGCCUGUAAGUUGUUCAAAAAAUCAAAACAAAAGCAAGUUUACUAUCAAGCCUCACCUUCCAUGCAUUUUCAAGACUUUGGUCCACGUUCUCUGCAUCAACUUUAAGAGCUAGUGAACUUAGUAACUCUGCUUGUUGCAUCAAUGCGUUUAUCUUUGGGUCAUCCUUUUUAAGGAAUGUUCCUUGAAUCUUGUCAUUUUGGACUGCAAAAUCAUGAUAAUCCAAGAGUUGCAUUAGAAUGAUAGGUGACCAAUGUUAUUUCAGGCUUAAUAUAUAAGAGGUGUUUUGGCUUAUUUUCUAUUUUCAUUUUCAGGUGAAAUGUUUUCACUUAUAAUUUAAAGCUAUCACCUCGUUUUCAUUUAGUUUCCUCUUUUCCUUAUGUUGAUUUUAGUUUCACCAUUUCCUUCACAAAAUCUUGAAAACAGGAAACAAAAAAAUGUGAUAUUUAUUAUUUUUAUAAUUACUAGUGAAAAGAUAUUAACUGAAAAUUUAAAUUAACAUAGUAAACAA